GAUACGGCUGUUUUUUAAAUGAACACUUUCGGCUGCAGCAGGUUUUAGUGAACCUCUACAAGAGUUAAGGUGAUUUUUGAACAGGGCAGCCUCCUGAGAUCAGGACAUCUACAUUUUUCACCAUUAACUGAGGUUGAAAGACGGUCACAGCAGAUGGCAGAGAGAGAGGCAUUUGUCCAGAUAUUAUCCAAAGAACCACAAUCAUUCCUUUGAGCUGUACCUGUGUCAACUUUGAUGCAGGCCUUGUGAGUAACUUCAACCCUUCCUGCUGUUAAUACCAGGAUGAUGGUUUUGUUUCAGCACGACACGUAUCUGAACUAACCUGUUUAUACUGUAAGCGGGGCACAAAAGUCAAAAUUCGACAGAUGGGCCUGAAUCAGCCAAACUGAGCUGGACCCCACAAUUGCACUCAUGCCCUGGAU
Oreochromis aureus is the source of this 422-nucleotide long non-coding RNA. RefSeq lists it as uncharacterized. Lineage: Eukaryota; Metazoa; Chordata; Actinopteri; Cichliformes; Cichlidae. The transcript is spliced from 3 exons. The record is from RefSeq and is a predicted model, not a curated record.